This 1381-nucleotide ribosomal RNA is filed under the name metagenome. RNAcentral's name for it is "bacterial SSU rRNA". It matches the Rfam family "Bacterial small subunit ribosomal RNA". The record is from RNAcentral.
GUUUGAUCCUGGCUCAGGAUGAACGCUGGCGGCGUGCUUAACACAUGCAAGUCGAACGAUCCUUCGGGAUAGUGGCGGACGGGUGAGUAACGCGUGGGAAUCUGCCCUUAGGAGGGGGAUAACGGCUGGAAACGGCCGCUAAUACCCCAUAUGCCGAGAGGUGAAAUGAAUUUCGCCUGAGGAUGAGCCCGCGUCUGAUUAGCUAGUUGGUGGGGUAAAGGCCUACCAAGGCGACGAUCAGUAGCUGGUCUGAGAGGAUGAUCAGCCACACUGGGACUGAGACACGGCCCAGACUCCUACGGGAGGCAGCAGUGGGGAAUUUUCCGCAAUGGGCGAAAGCCUGACGGAGCAACGCCGCGUGAGGGAUGAAGGCCUCUGGGCUGUAAACCUCUUUUCUCAAGGAAGAAGAACUGACGGUACUUGAGGAAUAAGCCACGGCUAAUUCCGUGCCAGCAGCCGCGGUAAUACGGGAGUGGCAAGCGUUAUCCGGAAUUAUUGGGCGUAAAGCGUCCGCAGGCGGCCUUGUAAGUCUGUUGUUAAAGCGUGGAGCUCAACUCCAUUUAAGCAAUGGAAACUACAAGGCUGGAGUGUGGUAGGGGCAGAGGGAAUUCCCGGUGUAGCGGUGAAAUGCGUAGAUAUCGGGAAGAACACCAGUGGCGAAGGCGCUCUGCUGGGCCAUAACUGACGCUCAUGGACGAAAGCCAGGGGAGCGAAAGGGAUUAGAUACCCCUGUAGUCCUGGCCGUAAACGAUGAACACUAGGUGUCGGGGGAAUCGACCCCCUCGGUGUCGUAGCCAACGCGUUAAGUGUUCCGCCUGGGGAGUACGCACGCAAGUGUGAAACUCAAAGGAAUUGACGGGGGCCCGCACAAGCGGUGGAGUAUGUGGUUUAAUUCGAUGCAACGCGAAGAACCUUACCAGGGUUUGACAUCCUGCGAAUCCCUUGGAAACGAGGGAGUGCCUUCGGGAGCGCAGUGACAGGUGGUGCAUGGCUGUCGUCAGCUCGUGUCGUGAGAUGUUGGGUUAAGUCCCGCAACGAGCGCAACCCACGUCUUUAGUUGCCAGCAUUCAGUUGGGCACUCUAGAGAGACCGCCGGUGAUAAACCGGAGGAAGGUGUGGAUGACGUCAAGUCAUCAUGCCCCUUACAUCCUGGGCUACACACGUACUACAAUGCUACGGACAAAGGGCAGCAAGCUCGCGAGAGUUAGCAAAUCCCAUAAACCGUGGCUCAGUUCAGAUCGUAGGCUGCAACUCGCCUACGUGAAGGAGGAAUCGCUAGUAAUCGCAGGUCAGCAUACUGCGGUGAAUACGUUCCCGGGCCUUGUACACACCGCCCGUCACACCAUGGAAGUUGGCCAUGCCCGAAGUCGUUACUCCAACC